This 1531-nucleotide ribosomal RNA is filed under the name Salmonella enterica subsp. enterica serovar Newport str. USMARC-S3124.1. RNAcentral describes it as "bacterial SSU rRNA". It matches the Rfam family "Bacterial small subunit ribosomal RNA". The record is from RNAcentral. Lineage: Bacteria; Pseudomonadati; Pseudomonadota; Gammaproteobacteria; Enterobacterales; Enterobacteriaceae.
AGAGUUUGAUCAUGGCUCAGAUUGAACGCUGGCGGCAGGCCUAACACAUGCAAGUCGAACGGUAACAGGAAGCAGCUUGCUGCUUCGCUGACGAGUGGCGGACGGGUGAGUAAUGUCUGGGAAACUGCCUGAUGGAGGGGGAUAACUACUGGAAACGGUGGCUAAUACCGCAUAACGUCGCAAGACCAAAGAGGGGGACCUUCGGGCCUCUUGCCAUCAGAUGUGCCCAGAUGGGAUUAGCUAGUUGGUGAGGUAACGGCUCACCAAGGCGACGAUCCCUAGCUGGUCUGAGAGGAUGACCAGCCACACUGGAACUGAGACACGGUCCAGACUCCUACGGGAGGCAGCAGUGGGGAAUAUUGCACAAUGGGCGCAAGCCUGAUGCAGCCAUGCCGCGUGUAUGAAGAAGGCCUUCGGGUUGUAAAGUACUUUCAGCGGGGAGGAAGGUGUUGUGGUUAAUAACCGCAGCAAUUGACGUUACCCGCAGAAGAAGCACCGGCUAACUCCGUGCCAGCAGCCGCGGUAAUACGGAGGGUGCAAGCGUUAAUCGGAAUUACUGGGCGUAAAGCGCACGCAGGCGGUCUGUCAAGUCGGAUGUGAAAUCCCCGGGCUCAACCUGGGAACUGCAUUCGAAACUGGCAGGCUUGAGUCUUGUAGAGGGGGGUAGAAUUCCAGGUGUAGCGGUGAAAUGCGUAGAGAUCUGGAGGAAUACCGGUGGCGAAAGCGGCCCCCUGGACAAAGACUGACGCUCAGGUGCGAAAGCGUGGGGAGCAAGCAGGAUUAGAUACCCUGGUAGUCCACGCCGUAAACGAUGUCUACUUGGAGGUUGUGCCCUUGAGGCGUGGCUUCCGGAGCUAACGCGUUAAGUAGACCGCCUGGGGAGUACGGCCGCAAGGUUAAAACUCAAAUGAAUUGACGGGGGCCCCGCACAAGCGGUGGAGCAUGUGGUUUAAUUCGAUGCAACGCGAAGAACCUUGCCUGGUCUUGACAUCCACAGAACUUUCCAGAGAUGGAUUGGUGCCUUCGGGAACUGUGAGACAGGUGCUGCAUGGCUGUCGUCAGCUCGUGUUGUGAAAUGUUGGGUUAAGUCCCGCAACGAGCGCAACCCUUAUCCUUUGUUGCCAGCGAUUAGGUCGGGAACUCAAAGGAGACUGCCAGUGAUAAACUGGAGGAAGGUGGGGAUGACGUCAAGUCAUCAUGGCCCUUACGACCAGGGCUACACACGUGCUACAAUGGCGCAUACAAAGAGAAGCGACCUCGCGAGAGCAAGCGGACCUCAUAAAGUGCGUCGUAGUCCGGAUUGGAGUCUGCAACUCGACUCCAUGAAGUCGGAAUCGCUAGUAAUCGUGGAUCAGAAUGCCACGGUGAAUACGUUCCCGGGCCUUGUACACACCGCCCGUCACACCAUGGGAGUGGGUUGCAAAAGAAGUAGGUAGCUUAACCUUCGGGAGGGCGCUUACCACUUUGUGAUUCAUGACUGGGGUGAAGUCGUAACAAGGUAACCGUAGGGGAACCUGCGGUUGGAUCACCU